UAGUCAUAUGCUUGUCUCAAAGAUUAAGCCAUGCAUGUCUAAGUUUAAGCAAUAAACGGUGAAACUGCGAAUGGCUCAUUAAAUCAGUCAUAGUUUAUUUGAUGGUACCUUACUACAUGGAUAACUGUGGUAAUUCUAGAGCUAAUACAUGCUGAAAAAUCCCGACUUCUGGAAGGGAUGUAUUUAUUAGAUCCAAAACCAAUGGCUUCGGUCUUUUUGGUGAAUCAUGAUAACUGCUCGAAUCGCAUGGCCUUGCGCCGGCGAUGCUUCAUUCAAA
This 277-nucleotide ribosomal RNA is filed under the name uncultured eukaryote. RNAcentral's name for it is "partial 18S ribosomal RNA". It matches the Rfam family "Eukaryotic small subunit ribosomal RNA", at positions 21 to 303 of the family's 1831-position model. The record is from RNAcentral.